This 253-nucleotide ribosomal RNA is filed under the name uncultured bacterium. RNAcentral's name for it is "partial 16S ribosomal RNA". It matches the Rfam family "Bacterial small subunit ribosomal RNA", at positions 524 to 776 of the family's 1533-position model. The record is from RNAcentral.
UACGGAGGAUCCGAGCGUUAUCCGGAUUUAUUGGGUUUAAAGGGAGCGUAGGUGGAUUGUUAAGUCAGUUGCGAAAGUUUGCGGCUCAACCGUAAAAUUGCAGUUGAAACUGGCAGUCUUGAGUACAGUAGAGGUGGGCGGAAUUCGUGGUGUAGCGGUGAAAUGCUUAGAUAUCACGAAGAACUCCGAUUGCGAAGGCAGCUCACUGGACUGCAACUGACACUGAGGCUCGAAAGUGUGGGUAUCAAACAGG